Molecule: long non-coding RNA, 135 nt
Organism: Passer domesticus (house sparrow)
Lineage: Eukaryota; Metazoa; Chordata; Aves; Passeriformes; Passeridae
Exons: 2
Source: RefSeq, a predicted model, not a curated record
AUUGCUGCAUGUGAUGGUGGUAGUCACAGCAAGAUCAGAGGCUUCUACAUCUUUUGCAUGAGGAGAAGCUUGUAAAUACGAGGAACAACCCUGUAGGAUACCAUCUCAGGCCGAAAGAGUUUCUCUGGGUAGGUA